This 21146-nucleotide long non-coding RNA is filed under the name Gossypium barbadense (sea-island cotton). Its description in RNAcentral is "long non-coding RNA (GBAR_LNC016086)". Lineage: Eukaryota; Viridiplantae; Streptophyta; Magnoliopsida; Malvales; Malvaceae. The record is from RNAcentral.
UGCCAUCAAUAUGACAUUCACCAUUGGUGAAGGAGCAAUUGCAGGUGACAGUACUGUUGUUGACGGCACGAGAGCCAUGUAGCGGCGGUGGAGUAAACCAGCUUGACUUAUUGUUGCAAGGAUUCUCACUGAAAUUCAUAUCCUUCUUUCCAAGUUCUGCCGCUAUCUCACGAAGAGCUUUUACUGCAAAACCAGAAAGGAAAAGAAAAAGAAAGCCAUUGGAGGAAGCUGAGUUGGAUUGAAACACAUUUACAUGAAAAUCACUGGAGUAAUAUUUUGGGGUGAGUUCUUAAGACAUAUAUACGCAAACGAAUCAAACCUGCAAUAUACCGUUUAAUGCAGAUUACUUAAGAACCAAUAAAAGAAAAAACUGCCAAAACAUGAAAUGAAAUCUUAAGAAACAAAGCGUAUCUUUAACACAAACUGAGGCAAGAUUGAAAUUGCAAGACGGUACUGAAUUACCUUCAUACCGGGGAGGAUUAGCCGGUUCCACUUGGGCUUCAACUUGGUUUGGUUCCGUGCAAAUGAGCACCAAGAGGACUGUAACAAUGAUGUACGCAAAGAGUAUCUUCAUGGUUGAAGGACACUGAGCAACUCUUCCCAUGUUCUUUCUUCGUCAAAUGAAGCAAUCUUCUUUCACUUAAACAUUUUGAUGCUGCUACGGAUCUUUAACUUACCAACUUUUGAAUUGCAUGAGAAAAAUAAAUACCAAUACUAACACAUUUAUGGUUUUAAUGAUGGUUCAGUUGACUGUAAUUUAUCAAUUGACUUAUUUACAUUUUAUAAAAAAAUCAAAAAAGGAAAAAUGGAAUGGAGGUUUAUAAUAACAAAAUGAAGUCAUUGUUUAUUGUUUUCGAUUGAGAAAUUUGUGCCAACACCCAACUAGUGAAUUUGAAAAAAAGAAAAGAAGCAAAUGUCACAUGGCUACCAGUUUUUGAAUUGUCCAGUAGUUGCAAAGGAUCUGGAAAUAAUACAAAUAAAAUGAAAAGCAUCAGAUAUAAAAUCUACUACUUCAUUUAAGACAAAAGGUAGUCCAAAGAUUAAGUUGGCUAUUUUGACCAGAUACUACCAGAGAGUUAUAUAGUAAUGUUAAAAAGUUUUUAGAAAGUGCAUUAGGAUAUAAUUGAGGAAUUUGCUGUCCUAAUACGUACAUGACAUGCUUUUAUUAUGAGUAAGUCUAACUCCUCUCCCUCAAUAUAUAUCUUUAGGCGACAGUUGACUUGGUGAUUUUUUUAAAAAUAAUAAUUACCUUUAGUUGAGGGGGAAAUUGUAAUGUAGCUUCGCAGAUACAACUUUUGGUUUGUCGGGGUUAGCGGUCACCUGGAGAAAAAAUCCUGUGUGCGGGUUUGGGUUUUUGAAAACUAGAUUCCAUAUCAGGGAAAAAUACUUUUAAAAAUAGUUAUAUUUUUCGAAUGAUUAUUUUUAAUAUAAAUUAUUAUUUUAGUGGGUAACUUUUUUAAAAGAGUAAAAUAUAAAUUUAUCUUUCUUUAAUAAGUGUAUUAUAAGUAAAUUGUGGUAUUGAUGCUAUUGAUAUUAAACUCAAUUUAUUGAUGAUUAUAUUCACAAUUUAUUUCAAAUAAAUACACUGUCUCAUAAUUAAGAAAGUGGGCAAAGAAAUCCAAAUUUAUUACUUUUUGAGCAAGUCUUUCUAUUAAGGAGAGUGCGAGGAUAUAGAUCAUCCGCUCCAGGAAUGCAAUUUUACAAGAGUGGUGUGGUUUGAUUCCUCUAUAGGAAUCCAAACGUGUUGCCUAAACACUAACUCAAUUCACGAGUGAAUUUGUACAAUCCUAAAGCAGAUAAGUUAAUAAAUGACAAGCAAUAGAGAGACAUUCACAAGUUUUGUCAUUAUCUUAUGAAGCUUUAAGAUCUUGUUUAAAGAAGGCUCCCUAAACUCGAUCGCAGUCAUUAAAUUUGCCACUGAGAUAGCUCAUCAUACUAUCAUGGCAUACUCAAGCUGGAACACCUCAAAGGUAAAGAAAUAUAGGAAACCCCUAGUCAUACCAAACUCCAAACCAACCACAUACUACUACAUUUUCCUCAAACAGGAGAGGAGGAAUUCAAAGGUGAGUGUGGUUAUCAUUAUUAAAAUCCAUGAUCUUAAAACAUAGAAACAUAGAACAUUAAGGAUUGUUCGUGAAAAUUUCAAUUAGGAACACAAAAUUAUGUGCAAACUUUGUCUCACAAUUAAGAAACUAUAUAUGUUAGAGUUGUAUGACCCAAAUUCUAAAAGAUUACUUGUAAGUCAAGUUAAAUAAAAUAUAUUUCUUUUUAGAAGAUUUAAUAUUUAUGAGUAUAAUAUAUUUAGUAUUUAUUAACAUAAUAUAUUUGACUUUGAUUAGAAUUAGGUUUUUUCAACCUAUAAAUAAAUGUAAUCGAAACUCCUCUUGAAAUCAUUCGAAUUCGACAUAGUGAAUUUUUUUCUCCUUUACCCGUGUUUUUUUCCUGAAAGAGUUUACACGUAAAAAUCUAUGCGUUCUUUAUUUUUAUUUUUUUAUUUGUAAUAUAUUAUUAUUACCGACUUUCUAUGUUUUAAUUACAAGUACGAUAUUUCUCUAAAAUGAGUUUCCUUAUUCAAUGAAGAAUUUUUAAGUUCAACAACCUAUUUUCAAAAUAGGAGGUGGAUAAAUAAAAAUUUUGGGAGAGCCCUUCAUUUGUCCAUCAUUAUAGGCAACACCAUCAUAUUAUCUAUGAAAUUCGAACCGAACUCUAUUUAAACCCAGAUUUUUACUAAUUUUUAUUGUUUUCAAAGUAUCAAUCAAGUUUGCUUUGAAUUUCAUUGAUGUUCAACAAGUGUUGAGGAAGAGCCAAGCCAUACUGUUGAAGUUGAAUCCGAUGACUGAGUAAUCGUGGUGGUUUUACUACUCCGAGAUUGCAUUCGAUUAAAUUGGUCUUUUACUGCUCCGAAUCUCGACUCAUCAGAAAAUAUACUUGGGUCCAAGAUUAAUUCAGGAACCAGGGUUCGACCUUCAAGCAUGUUUACUACUUCAGACAUGGUUGGUCUAAGUGCUGGGGAUGAAUUAGUGCAGAGUAAGGCUACUUUUGCCAUCCUAAUUGCCUCUUCUUCAUUGAACUCCGUCCCCAACCUAAGAUCCACCAGCUCCAUUAAGUUUCCCUUUUGUUGUAAAACAAGAGCCUGAAAUAGAUUGAUGACAUAAUACAACAUUAGAUUAAUUAACUGGAGAAAGGCGUUAAUGAAUUUGCACACGUUUAACCCAACCAUCAGACUCAGUUACAACUACAUGGAUAUUUCUAUGAUGAUAUUCUCAAAUUAUAACUUGAAACACGGAUCAUAUCUUACCCAAUCUUGAAGGCAUACAUAAUCCUCUUCAGGUCGAUAUUUUGUAUUGUUCUUCCCAGCAACAAUCUCUAAUGCAACAAUCCCAAAACUAUAAACGUCUGCCUUGUAGGUGAGAUAGCCCCAUAACGCAUAUUCAGGGGCCAUGUAUCCUCUGCAAAAACAGGAGCUUUAAGCGCAACAUUCUCAUGCAUAUCAACUUCGUUCACCUUCCCAUAAGCAAGGUUGGAGGCUUUGAUCUCAUUUUUAUUGCUUUAUAGUUUAAAAAUUGAUGCAUCAUUCUAUUUGCAGAAACUACAGUUUCAAGAAUGUACGUAUUAUUUUGUCUACGAUGGUAGCAGCUUCACAAAUCUAUUGCUUUGUUAGGUUCAACUAAAAUAUGCAGUGAUGAUCAGCAGAUGAAAACAGAGGGAAAGAAGUAGCUCACAUAGUUCCAGCAAUUCUGGUGCUAAUAUGGGUGUUUUCCUCCUCAUCAAACUUGGCCAAACCGAAGUCAGAGAUUUUAGCAUUGAGAUCGCUAUCAAGUAGCACAUUGGUGGUUUUGAUGUCUCGAUGUACAACUUUUAAACUCGAUUCCUCAUGCAGGAAAGUUAGGCCUUUUGCUAUGCCAAGACAAAUUUUCUGCCUAGUUGGCCAGUCUAAUUUCAGCUGGCUUUCUGUAGGACCUAUUCAAUGACACAGGCCAAUCCAGUGAAAUUCAAUUCAUCAUACAGUUGUCAAUGCAUAGUGUUCAAUUCUUUUCUUUCCAUAACUGUUAUACAAUCAACAUUACCAUUUUCUUUUCUUGUGGGAUGUAGAAGUAAUCAAAGGAGGAGAAGAACACUUGCUUAUAUGGUUCCAAUUUCAGAACCAUCAAAGAAAGGAGGAAUAAAAGAGGUUUAGGACAUUAAGCUUACCGAAUAAAGCAUGUGCAAGGCUAUUAUUUUCCAUGUAUUCAUAUACCAAUAACAGCUGAGUUCCCUCAACGCAACAUCCAUACAAUCUAACAACAUUUGGGUGUUGUAAUCCUGAAAUCAUGCCUAGUUCAUUCAAAAAUUCUCGAUCUCCUUGUCUUGAUUUUGAAGAAAGUUUUUUAAUCGCAAUUAUGGUGCCAUCAAGCAAUUCGCCCUAUAGCAGAGGUAUGACAUAGAACUUUAGUGAUAUAUUUCAUCACAUAACGCAUACUCCUAAACAUCAUAAAUUCAGCAAAGAAAAAGCAAGUGAUGCAGUUACCUUGUAGACGGCCCCAAAACCACCUUCUCCAAUUUUAUUUGCAGCGUCAAAGUUGUUUGUAGCAGCUUGCAUUUGUCUGAAGGUAAAAAAGCCAGUCUGCAGAUCUAACCCCCUCAAGACUUGGACAAGAUUGAGGGAACCAAUUGAAUUACACAUUCAAUAAGCUUGAAAACCAUGCAUAAGAGAAAUUAUUUCAAAGCAUAAAAUUGUAGAGUGAAGUUUGUUAGAGUACCUUGUUCCCUUGAUGGCUUGGGUUGAAAAUAGCCUUUCCGCCAUAGAAUGCCUAAGAUUACCAAAAUCAGGCACAGAACAGAAACAACAGCUGCCACUACGAACUUCAAAUUCUUUUCCCAUGAAUUGAGAACUCGAGGCUUGUGAUCUACCAACAAAAGGGAAGAAAAGGUACAAACAGUUAUUCUCAAACUUCAUCUGCAUGUGCAUAUGGCAGUAAAAGAUGUUAUGACUUAUCCGACAAUUUAAGUACUUAUGAUGGUAUCGGAUGCUUAAAGUUUCCUUUGGUGAAAAUUUAAGCACAUAAAUUGUUUCUUAUGCUAUAUCAGUUCACAGUAAGGUUCUACUACCUUCAGCUGCCAAGAAUCUAUGCCAUGCAGACAAUACUUAUGGGCAACUCCAUUAUUGCUUCACAUCAUGUACAUGUUAAUCCACUUUGAAUUAAACAAAUUUGACAAUUAAGAGAAGUUCCUAAAUAUAACAGAGAGAUUGAACAAGCACCUAAGAAGAAUGAAUGGCUUUUUUAAUUAUAGAUCUUACCAGAGUCUACUGAAAUAGCUGAUAUCAAGGGCCCAUAUGUUCCUCUUCUUGGGGUUGCAGUUGUCCCCUUCCCAGCCCAGUGAAAGCGUAUUGUCAAAGUUUUGUUACUGACAACCGUUUUAAUUUUCCUUACAACCGCUUUAUCAACACCCUUUGCCUCAUUUUGAAUAUUGAAAUCUUUCAAUUCUAGUUUCUCCUGAAAGGAACUUAUUCAAUCAAACCAGCUUCAGUAACAUGCAAAUUACACUUCAUAUAUAACAUUAUUGAAUACCUGGACAUAAACAUCAAAUAUCCUCCUUCCAAGACUUUGAUAGGAUCUAUUGUCUCUGAUAACUAUCUCCGCAAAGUGAAGUGUAACCGUAUAAUUUCCAUUUGCUAAGCAACGGAAGUAAUAUGUCAGAGAAAGAGGAGAGAGGCGUGCUGUUGUGUAUAAUGCAGAGUUCUUUAUUCUGAGAAUGGAAACGUUUUGUGAUAUAAAGUCCCUUGAAGUAACAUCGGUAUCCCAGAAAAGCCCCGUGCUACUAGUUUCCCAAGUCUCUCUGAGGGGGAAAUAUUUUGCUGGACCUCCUAAGUCUUCAUCACCCUCAUAGUCGAUGCCAUUAAUCGUUGUUGCUCCUCCAGCACAGUUUAUAUUUACUGAAUACCAAUCUAUCAAGAAUGAAUAGAUACAUUCAAUGUUGAUCAGGAUAAAAUCUUACUGUGAAACAUGUUUUUAGAGUCUACAGAUGUGCAUUUAAUGCAAAAAGAUUACCUUUUGAGCAAGGAAAGUUCUUCAGGCAGUUAUCUAGUCCUCUUCAUAAGAGUAGUAAGGCAAAGGAGCAUUAGUCUUGUUAAUGAGUGAUCAAAAGGGAAAGAAUAGAAAUAACUAAAAAAGCUAUGGUAACUUUUUUGCUCAAUAAGAUACAAACUUACAGGGUUUUGCCUCCUGAGAAGCUUUUGAACAAAUUUCUGAUGAAGCAGCAGACCAAUCAGUUUAAUAUUUCAAAACAUCUUACAAAAAUUUGCAAAAGCAAUACGUGCACAGCAUAGGAAGCCAAGAGGAAUUUUUUCUUACAGAUUUUCCCGACAAGAAGGCGAGUCAGAGCUUUCAGUAAAAUUAUUAUAAGAAAGAUCUAUUUGGCUGCCAAAAAGUAUAAUAUAUUAUUACUAAUUAGACUUGAAACAUUAAGGUACAUUGACUUCGAUUAAAAAUAACAAUGUUAUAACUGGAAUAAGUUACACAGGACAUGUUUCCAGGAAUGGUACUCUUGAGCAGCUACAAAAUGGAUAAUUUGGGUCAUUUUGCAUCUUUUGAAGAGAAACAGGUAGUUUGGUAGUAUAUCCUUAAGAUUGUCAAAAGAAGAAAAUCCUUAAGUCGCUGUAAAUAACUUAAGAUCGAAUCCAGUAAAAAUCAUAUUACAAAUAUUCUUCGAAGCAUCAGUUAACAAAAUGCAGAAAAUAACAGAUAAUCAUGUAUCAAAUUGAAAAAAAAAAAAGAGAAAGAAAGAUAGUUGACAUACUAGCGGCUGUCUCUAAUACUCAACCAAUUUGGAAUGUGCCCACUAAGCGAGUUGUGUGUCAGAUACCUAAUCAGUAAGCAACACUCAGAAUUAAGCACUUCUAUGGGAACCAUAUUGAAAGGUUACAACUGAAACUUAAAUUUAAAAUAAGUUCAACCAAAAUUAGGUCUUAUACAAGGAUAGUAAUGCAUGCAGAUUCCUGAUUCUGAAGCUGUGAAAGUAUGAGCAAGCGAGUUUUAUUUUGAUGUUAUCCAUGAUUUUCCAAAAUGUACACUGUUCGGAUAAAAUAAACAAAUGGAAAUGUUUUCUAUUACCAUAAGGAUUAAAAAGUCUAAUAAAAUAGGAACUUUUGAUUAAAUACUGUUUCUUUUUCAAUAAAUAUCUUAUUAAAUGAUAAAAAAAAUCUACCUAGACCGAGUAUUAUUUCAAGAGUAUAAUGUACCUAGGUGUUCUCCAGAUUGGUUAUUCUGGGGUUUGGAUGAAUAAAUGUUAAAAACUCAGCACUUACAUGUAUUGCGUUCUUGUAAGGCCUUCAGUAUCUGAAAUGUUACCUUCCAAGUUGUUGAAGCUGAGAUCUCUGGAAGAAAUAGAAAAAAAAACAGCUAAUUCUUAGGCACCAUCCAAAUAUAAAUUCUGAAAAUGAUUGAUUAAUGGAAAUUUGAAAAUCCAUAAAAUAUAUGAUGAGUGCGUUUACGAAGAAAGAAUUCAUGGAAAGCAAGCAACAUAUCAGAUGUUGAAGUUCUCAAGAUGCUGAUUAUAGCAGAUUCAUGUACGCUAUUCUAAAUAUUCAACUUGUAAAAAAACUGAAUGAAAAAUCAUAGUAUUCCAUUAAACUGGUGAAGAUGUUGCUACAAAUAUUAUAGAAUCAGUCAAUAUUAGCACCGUUUUACGUAAUGUGAUAUGGCAAUUGAUACACUAAGUGCAAAAUUAUGAAACACCUCUAAGUAGAUUGCUGCUCUAGUCUCUACAUGGAUUUGUACAAAAAUCUUUGUAAAUAUGAAACAUAAACAGAGAUUAGUCACAGAAGAACUGAGCUCGUACACAUGAACAUUGUACAUUUAUAUCAUGACGAACCUUUUCCGCAAAUCUACACAAUUGCUCCUAGUGUUGACUUAAAUACUGAAAAAUGAGAUGAAUAAGAACAGAAAAAUUACAAAAUUUGCAGUCGCGAAAGUUCCCAUACGUAAUCAGGGAUUGGUCCAGAUAUGUUGCAGCUACGUAAUAUCCUGCGUUAUGAGCCCCCAUCAUGUCAGCACAAUUAUAAAAAAUGGGGAUUAAUAUGACCUAGAAGAAUUUUGCAAGCCUUGGAAUGACUUACAAUCUGUACAUGUUUUUCAUAUUUUUUAAGUUCGGAAACUUUGAACCCUCUCCAGGUAAGUCACUGAUCCUUCUGAAAUAUAUAGCACCAUAAAGAGUUGUUAAAAUAGAAAAGGACCCCAAUUCAAUAAUUUUAGCAUCUACAUUGUAAUGAACCCAGAUUACGUUAAAUCAUUUAUAGAAAUGAAGGGCUACAAAAUCUAAAGGGAUCAAGACAAACUCACAGUUCCACUAAGUUAUGCAAGAGUGCUAAGCUUGAAGGAAUUGGCCCUUCAAAACCACUAGCUUGAAUCUCUCUGUCAGCAAAAGAAUUCAAAUCAUCACCAAAAAAACUUUCAAUAAAGAGCUAUAGAGAAGCUGUUGAGACAGAAAGGUGCUUACAAUUUCUCAAGUUGCUUCCAACUUUGAAAAAUGUCGGGCAUCUUACCAGAGAAAUUGUUACUGCUAAUCCUACUGCAUAUACCUUGCAUAAAAGCAGGGUAUUAACAAAUCUAGCCCUAUUAAUAGUAAACACUAGAUAGUGUUGAAAAGUGAAAACACUUACAGUUCUUUUAUAUUGGACAGAUUAGCCAGGAAUGAGGGAAACUUUCCGACGAGAUAGUUAGCACUAAGAGUACUGAAUUCAGGAAAGAGGCAAAAUCAGGCCAACCAUAGAGAAGUAGACUGAUAAGUCAUGCACGAAUAUCAGAAAGCGAAAAGAAAGCCUAACAGGUUUUCCAGGUUGACCAAUUUCCCAAACUCGGGUGGAAUAGUUCCAGAAAACAGGUUGUUCUCCAGGCUCCUGAAAAUAUAAUACUAAAAGAAACGUUAUAAUGCAUUUAAGGAAAAAGGAAAGAAAUAAUGCUAAAGAAAACAUAGGCAAGCGAGGCAUACAGAUAUUUUAGAGAGGUUAUGUUUCCUAAAUAGCUUGGAAUUGGCCCCGAUAAGCGGUUCAUAGCAACAUUCCUGAAAUGUAUCCGUUGCUAUCAGUUGAAUGAAAAUAAGCUUCUUCUAAACAGGAUAAACAUGAAAUGCGCUAGUAGCUUACAGUGUCUCCAACUUCAGAGCAGCCCAUUCACGUGGUAUUUUGCCAUUAAGAUAGUUGAGAUAUAGUACCCUAAAAGCAACAGAAAGAGGAGUUAUAAAGAAAGAUAGAAGCUUAUUUGCUGGUUAAAGAGUAAAAUCAUCAAUUGUAUCAUUUUUUCUUACAAUACUUUAAUAUAUGAUAGCUUGACAAGUGAGCGUGGUAGAACACCAUCAAGAUCCUGCCCCAAAAGGUAGCUGUUCCAAUGAAUACAAAGUUUUUAGAAGCAUGUCAAAUUCAAAAUUCCAGAAAUAUUUUCUCUCACACAAUAGUUUGGAGAGAAAUUUUUGUUGCAGAAAAAGUAUUGAAAGACCCCUUUCAGUGAUAGAAAACGACAGUGUUGAUAUUAUAUAAUGACUGAGAUGAUUAAUUGGGAUAAAUUUGUAUCCGAAUUCGAAGCCAUACUCAUACAGCCAUUCAUCUGGAAUGAGGCACACCCUUACUCUAUUUGCCUAUGGUAAUAAUUUCAUAGUGCUAAAAUCAAAAUGGACAAUUCAAGCAAAGCAAAUCACUGAUACAGAAAUCAAAGUUAACAUACUGAAAAUAAAAAGAAAGAGGACUGUCUAUGGUUAAGGAAAUUAAAAUAAGCAUCAAUUUUAUUAUGAUCAGUGAGGACUUACAUGCCAUCAAUAUGACAUUUACCAUUGGGGAAGGAGCAAUUGCAGGUGACAGUACUGUUGUUAAUGGCCUCAGGCACAUUUGGCGGCGGCGGUGGAGUAAACCAACUUGACUUAUUGUUGCAAGGGUUUUCAUUGUAAUUCCAAUCCUUCUUCCCAAGUUCUGUUGCUAUCUCACGAAGAGCUCUUACUGCAAACCCAGAAAGAAAAGAACAAAUAUUUGAGAAGCAAUUGGAGGAAGUAGAAUUGGGUUGGUACAAAUUUACAAGCAAAUCACAGGAUAAUUCUAAACACUCAAGUACAUACUCAAAUGAACCAAACCUGCAAUUUACUGUUUGGUUGAGAUUAGUUAAGAAACAAUAAAAAGAAAAGUGGACUGGAACAGAGUAAAGUCUCGGAAUAUGAAGAGGAAAUUUCCAAUAUCAGCUAGUAAAGAAAUACUGUUAAUCUUUAACACAACCUGAAGCAAGAAAGAAGUUGCAAAGCUGUGCUAACUUACCUUCAUAAUCUGGAGGAUAGGGCGGCUCCACUUGGGCUUCAACUUGGUUUGGUUCCAUGCAAAUGAGCAUCAAGACUGUAAGAAUCAUGAACCCAAAGAGUAUUUUCAUGGUUGAAGGACGUGUAGCAAGUCUGCCCAUGUUUAUCUUAGUGAAAUGAAGCAAUCUUCUUACAUGGACAUUCAUGAUUUCAAUGAUGGAAAUGUGGAAAAGAUAAGUUGGCGAAAAGUGCUGUCAUGUCAAAAAAGGUGCAAUGAAGUAAAAAAUUACCACUUAUUUCCAUUUCAUAGAAAAAAAAAACUAAUAAAGUAAUAAUAAAAUUUUAUAGAAUAAAGUAAGGCCCCACUCUUUAUUGUAAAGGAGAAGAAUCAAUUAUCACAUGCCUAUAGUUUAUGAAUUGUCCACUAGUCAAGGAUUUGGAAAAAUAAUAAAUAGAAAUAGAAUUGAGAUCUAAACUAUACUAAAUUUUAGGGUUAAAAGACAGACCAUUGAUGACCAAAUUUUCUUUUAGUCUUUGUCCGUCUACAUCACAUUUUUUUUUUAUGAUUUUUAGAUUAAAUAAAUUCAUACUUCACCGGUUUACCAUUGACCCUACCUAACUCAUCAGUCGACCAAGACCCCAGUCAUUAAAAACAUAACCCUCCCCGAAUUUAUUGAAACCAGAGUAUUUGAGUAACGUCGAUACAUAUUGUUAAAUAACUAAUCAAUUUUAAUUUAAGAUUCUCGAAGAUUUAAGAGAAGUCAACAAAAUUAUUAAUAAUUUAAAAUAUAAUUUCACGUGGAAGAAUUUUUUAUGUUACUUUCUUUUCUAUUUUGAUUACUCAUUCCUGCAAUUUUUUUUUUUCCUAAUUUUUUAACUAACCGUUGAAAGCAUUAUUUCUGAUUCUUCAAUAAUGUUUAUAUACAUUGAAACUAUUUCGAAUAUCAUUAUUGUAAUUUAAAUUAUAAUGUUUUAGAAUUAAUUCUCAAUUUGAUAUAAAGCAUCAAAGGAUACUAAACUAUUUUUCAUUAAUGUUCUUUAGCGUAUACCCACCUGACCUGUUUUUCGUUAAGGCUGGUCUUGAAAAUAGAAACUCAUACAUUAUAAAGUGACCCACUUUAUAUAUGCUGCUUCAUGUUCUAUUGAAGUAGCAUAUUUUGGAUAUGAGGCGGUGGCCACAAAUGAAAGGAAACUGUUUUGGGAAGGAGGGGUAUUCUUAUUUAAUGUAGUGGAGAUAAAAUACGCUGAGGAUGCUAAUAUAUUGUUAGGUGUUAGUCCAAAGAGAGGAUUUUUUUUUAAAAUUAAAUCAAAUAUAUUGUGAUUUAAUUAUAAAAUCUUGUAGAAGUAAGAAAUUAUAAGAAAAUAUAUAAAGGAAUAUUUAUAGAAUUAAAACAUAUGUUAUAAAAUAUAACUAAAAAUAUAAAUUUAAUAUAAAAGUAUUUUAGUAAAUAUAAAAUGUUGUGUUUUAAAGCCUACCUCGAAUUUUUUUAAAGCCUUUUAACAAGUCGGGACAGAUCAAAAUUUGUUGGAUUCAAUUUUUAGUAGAUUAAAUAAUUAAUAAUUUUGUUUAUUGUUUUUAAUAUUUAAGAUAAAAGGAGAUUAGGGUAAACUACAUAAUUGGUGAUUUAACUUUCAUAAAUUUUUAUUUUAGGCAUCAAAAUAAAAAAAAAUUGCAAUAAGAGGACUGCUGUUAACAACGACUUUCAUUUUGAUUACCCGUCAUUAAUUUGGAAUUAAAAAAUAUUAGUAUAAGCUCAUUUUAGUCACUUAAUUUUGUUAGUUUUCAUUUUAGUUAGUUGUUUUAUUUUUUUAGAAUUAACUCUAAUAAAGGGGAAAUAAAAUAAAUUAAAAAGAUAAAUUUGUUUUUCCUUUAAAAACUUAACUCCAAUAUUUUGCUUACUGAUAUCUCUCUAAAAAACUCAGAUUUACCCUUUACUGAAAUAAACUAAAAUUAAUUAUAAAAAAGAAAAAAGAUCAGAUAAAAUAGGUUAUUAAAAUGAAAAAUUAUUAAAAUUAAAUGACUAAAAAUAAGUGUAAAAUAAUAUUACCUAAUCUUAAAUUAACGAUACAUGAUCAAAAUAAAAAUAAUUAUUAACAAGAGUACCCUUAUUACAAAUUUUUUAUUUUCCACGUACAAACUAAAAGCUUACAAUUUUUCAUGAACAACAAUAUGGUUUACUUUUACCAAUUAAUUAUAAAAAGUGCCUAACAGCUCUAAUAUGCCACAUUUUGGCAUUUGAAGUAUUAAGAGGACAUGGUGUCCAACUGUCCCUGGAACCUGCAGAGGAUAAGCUUUAUUUUAUCCAAUUGAAUACUGCCAGUCCUCAACUUCAGCUUGAGAUCAUACAUAUUUUCUGGAGAAAAGUAACAUUCUAACAUUUCUUUUCACUAACUUUUAUGAAUUUCAUCUUUAAAUUUGUUAUCCACAGUUUUUAAAUUUAAAUUCUGUUAAAUAAUUUAUUUUUUAAGACCGUUAAUAUAAGGGCAUUGUUAUUUUGAAAAAUAUAUAAAAAUUUUAAAAAAAUAUUAGAAACUCUAUAGCAUACGUGUAUAUAUGAAAAUUACACAUUUAAAACAUAAAUGUGUGUUUGAAAAUAAUAUACAAUAAAUAAUAAAACGUAUGGUUUGAAAUAAAUUUAAUAAUAACACAUGAAAUAUGUUAUUAUUAAUAGUAUAAAUAUAUGAUUGAUGAAUGCAAUAAAAUGUAAAUAUUAAAACAAAAAUGUAUAAAAACUAUUAAAAUAAAAGUUUAGUUGAUUGGUAAAUUUAAAGUUUUAUUAAUCUAAUUAGCAUGUGUUCAAAUCUCACUAUUUAAAUAUUUUAUGGCUUUUGUUGAAAAAAAAAAACUAAAAUACUUUUGAAUAAUAUAUCUUAUUUUAAUUAUAGAAUGACAUUUUCGUAAUUUCUCUCACCAAGUUAGUGACCCGAUUGAAGGUGACACUAAUUUAAUAUAACACUUAAUAAAUAAUAUAGAUAAAAAAUGCUAAAAAUGUGUGUCCACAAUGAAUAUAGAGAGGGGCGAACAAAUGUAAAAUUAUAGUUAUAGCCCCUUAAAGAUAAUUACAUUAUAAAUUAAUAAAGAGUAAAAUUAUACUUUGGCCCCGAAAAUUUUAAAAAAUUUAUUUAGUCCCUUCAAAAAAAUGAAAUCAUAAUUUAAUACAUGAUAAAAUUCAUAUUUUGACAUAUUUUUGAAAAUUUUUAAGGUUUUUAAAUUUUUAUAAAUUUCUAAAUUUAUAUAUAUUUAAAAUAUUUUAAGUUUUUCUUUAUAAAUUUCAAUACUUUUUAUAUUUUAAAAAAUCCAUUUAGUGAUAUCACACUUACUCAAAGUAUCCUACAUGAGUUAAUGGGAUUUUUGUUUUCCCUAGUAUAAAAAUUUGAGUUAUUUGGUAAUAAAGUUAUCGUGAUUUAAGGGAUAAAUUUUUUACUAUUCAUCUUUAUAAUAAAAGAAUAAUAUUUCACAAGUUGACUAAUUGAUCAUGGAUUGUUUAUUUAUAGGGACUAUCAUUUGAAAAUCAUUUAACCCUUCGAGAGAGGAGUUUUUACACAGAUGAUAGAAGAAAGAGUUUUUAGUGUAAGCGAAUUUUGGAAGUAUGCACACAAAAGUGUACAACAUCAAGACCGUAGUAAUCAUUAGAAGUCUUAAGAGUAAUUGAAUAGUAAUCGGUGCUUGUACUGUUUACUUUACUAGGGUGUGAUCAGCCAAGUGGCCUAAACAAUUUAUAUAUUUUUACAUUACAAUAAUAUCAAUCAACUUUGCUUUGAAUUUCAUGGAUGUUGAACAGACGUUGAGGAGGAACCAGACCAUGCUGUUGAACUUGAAUAUAUUGAUGAUUGAGUAAUCGUGGUGAUUUCACUACUCUUCCGAGACUGCAUUUGGUUAAAUUGGUCUUUUAGUGCUCCAAAUCUCGACUCAUCAGCAAAGAUACUUGGGUCCAUGAUUAAUUUAGGAACAAGGGCUCGACCUUCAAGCAUGUUUACUACUUCAGACAUGGUCGGUCUAAGUGCUGGGGAUGAAUUAGUGCACAAUAAAGCAACCUUUGCCAUCCUAAUUGCCUCUUCUUCAUUGAACUGCGUCCCCAACCUUGGAUCCACCAACUCCAUUAAGUUUCCCUUUUGUUGCAAAACUAGAGCCUGAAAUACAUUGAUGACAUAAUGGAACUUCAACAUUAACUAAAUUAACAUGAAUAAGGCAUUAAUGACUUUGCAGAAGUUUAAUGCACCAAUCAGUUACAAUGCAUGGAUGUUUCUAUGAUGAUAUUCUCAUAUUAUAACUUGAAACAUGGAUUAUAUCUUACCCGAUCUUGAAGGCAUACAUAAUCGCCUUCUGGUCGAUAUUUUGUAUUGUUCUUCCCGGCAACAAUCCCGAAACUAUAAACAUCUGCCUUGUAGGUCAGAUAGCCCCAUAAUGCAUAUUCUGGGGCCAUGUAUCCUCUGCAAAAAUUGGAGCUUUAAGCACAACAUUCUCAUGCAUAUCAACUUUGUUCACCUUUCCAUAAGCAAGAUUGGAGGCUUUGAUCUCAUUUUUACAGCUUUAUAGUUUAAAUAUUGAUGCAUCAUUCAAUUUGCAGUACGUAAUAUUUUGUCUAUGAUGGUAGCAGCUUGACAAAUCUAUUGUUUUGUUUGAUUCAACUAAAACAUGCAAUGAUGAUCAGCAGAUGAAAACAGAGGGAAGGAGGCAGCUCACAUAGUUCCAGCAAUUCUAGUGCUAAUAUGGGUGUUUUCCCCUUCAUCAAACUUGGCCAAACCGAAGUCGGAGAUCUUAGCAUUGAGAUUGCUAUCAAGUAGCACAUUGGUAGUUUUGAUGUCUCGAUGUACAAUUGUUAAACUCGAUUCUUCGUGCAGGAAAGCUAGACCUUUUGCUAUGUCAAGACAAAUUUUCUGCCUACUAGGCCAGUCCAAUAUCAGCUGGCUUUCUUGAGGACCUGCUCAUUGACACAGGCCAAUCCAGUGAAAUUCAAUUCAUCAAACAAUUGUCGGUACAGAGUGUUGAGAUCUUUUCUCUCUUUAACUUUUAUAAAAUCAAUAUCAACAUUUUCUUUGCUUGUGGGGACAUGGAAGCGUCCAAACGAGGAAAAGAACACUCGCUCAAUGUGGUUCCAAUCACAGAACCAUCAAAGAAAGGGGGAAUAAAAGAGGUUUAGGACAUUAAGCUUACCGAAUAAAGCAUGUGCAAGGCUAUUAUUUUCCAUGUAUUCAUAUACCAAUAACAGCUGAGUUCCCUCAACGCAACAUCCAUACAAUCUAACAACAUUCGGGUGUUGUAAUCCUGAAAUCAUGCCUAGUUCAUUCAGAAAUUCUCUGUCUCCUUGUCUUGAUUGUGAAGAAAGUUUUUUAAUCGCAAUUAUGGUGCCAUCAAGCAAUACACCCUACAGCAGAGGUAUAACAUAUAAUUUUUGUUAUAUAUUUCAUCACAUAACCCAUACUCCGAAACAUCAUAAAUUCAGUAAACAAAAAGCACGUUAUGCAGGUACCUUGUAGACAGCUCCAAAACCACCUUUUCCAAUUUUAUUUGCAGCGUCAAAGUUGUUCGUGGCAGCUUUCAUUUGUAUAAAGGUAAAAAAGCCAGUCUGCAGAUCUAACCCCCUCAAGACUUGGAAAAGAUUGAGGGAACCAAUUGAAUUACACAUUCAAUAAGCUUGAAAAACAUGCAUACGUUCAAAUAGAUCAUCCUAGAGAAAUUAUCUUGAAGUAUAAAAUUGUAGAUUCAGAUUUGUUAGAUUACCUUGUUCCCUUGAUGGCUUGGGUCGAAAAUAGCCUUUCCACCAUAGAAUACCUAAGAUUACCAAAAUCAGGCACAGAACAGAAACAACAGCUCCCACUACAAACUUCAAAUUCUUUUCCCAUGCAUUGAGAACUCGAGGCUUGUGAUCUACCAACAAAAGGGAAGAAAAGGUACAAACCGUUAUUCUCAAACUGCAUCUCCUGAAGUAACACUGCAUGUGCAUAUCAUAUGGCUGUAAAUAUGUUUACUUAUCUGAAAAUAUAAGUACUUAAGACGGUAUCGGAUGCUUAAAAUUUCCUUUUGAGAAAAUGUAGGCACAUAAAGUGGGUCUUAUGUUGCUGUGUCAGUUUACAGUAAAGUUCUACUAGAUUCAGCUACCAAGAAUCUAUACCAUGCAGACAAUAGUUUAAGGGCAACUCCAUUAUUGCUUCACGUCAUGUACAUGUUAAUCCACUUUGAAUUAAACAAAUUUGACAAUUAAGAAAAGAAAAUCCCAAAUAUAAAUGGGAGAUUGAUUAAGCACAUGAGAAGAACGAAUGGCUAUUUUAAUUAUAGAUCUUACCGGAGUCUACUGAGAUAGCUGAUAUCAAGGGACCAUAUGUUCCUCUUCUUGGGAUUGCAGUUGUCCCCUUCCCAGCCCAGUGAAAGCGUAUUGUCAAAGUUUUGUUCCUCACAACUGUUUUAAAUUUCCUUAUGACUGCUUUAUCGACCCCCUUUGCCUCAUUUUUAAUAUUCAAAUCUUUCAAUUCAAGUUUCUCCUGCAACAAGCUUAUUCGAUCAAUCUGGCUUCAAUAACAUGCAAAUUACACUACAUAUUAACAUGAACUACCUGUACAUAAACAUCAAAUAUCCUCCUUCCAAGACUUUGAUAGGAUCUAUUGUCUCUGAUAACUAUCUCUGCAAAGUGAAGUGUAACCGUAUAAUUUCCAUUUGCUAAGCAACGGAAGUAAUAAGUGCGAGAAAGAGGAGAAAGGCGUGCUCUUGUGUAUAAUUCAGAGUUGUUUGUUCUGAGAACAGAAAAAUUUUGAGCUAAAAAGUCCAUUGAAGUAGGAGUGGUAUCCCAGAAAAGCCCAGUGCUACAAGUUUCCCAAGUCUCUUUGAGUGGAACAUAUUUUGCUCGACCUCCUAAGUCUUCAUCUGCCUCAUAGUCGACUCCAUUAAUAGUUGUUGCUCCUCCACCACAAUUUAUAUUUACUGAAUGCCAAUCUAUAAAGAAUGAAAAAAAAACAUUGCAUGUUGAGUAUGAGAAAACCUUACUUGAAACAUGUUUCUAGAGUCUAUAGAUUUGCAUUUUAAUGCGAAGGAAUUACCUUUCGAACAAGGAAAGUUCUUCAGGCAGUUAUCCGAUCCUCUACAUCACUGUAGUAUGAAAAAGAAGCAUCAGUCUUGUUAAAGAGUGAUCAAAAGGAAAAUAAAAUAAAAUAAACAAAAUGCCUGGUAACAUUUUUGCGCAAUAAGAUACAAACUUACAAGUCUUUUCCUCCUGCAAAGCUUUCGAAAAAAUUUCUGAUGAAGAAAUAGACCAACCAGGUUAACAAUUCGACACUUCUUACAAAAAAUUGGAAAAGUGAUACGUACACAACAUAGGAAGUCAAGUUAAGAGGAUGUUUUUCUUACAGAUUUUCCCGAUAAGGAGGCGACUGAAGGCUUUCAGAAAAAUUGUUAUAAGAAAGAUCGACCUGGCUGCAAAAAUUGUAUAAUAUAUUAUAAACAACUAGAAUUGAAAUAUUAAGGUACAUUAAUUUUGAGUAAAACUAACAAUAUUAUAACCAGCAUAAGUUACCAAGAAUGGUACUUUUGAGCAACUAAAAAAUGGAUAAUUUGGGUUAUUUUUGCAUUGUUUGAAGAGAAAUAGGUAGUUUGGAAGUGUAUCCUUAAGAUUGUCAAAAAUGAAAAUCCUGAAGUGAUUGUAAACAACUUAAGAACUAUGAAUAUUCUUUGUAGAGUUGAGUUAACAAAAUGCAGAAAAUAAACGGAUAAUCAUGGCUAAGAAAUAUAAACACCAACACCAACACCACCACCACCACCAACAACAACAACAAUAAUAAUAAUAAUAAGGGAGGAUAGUAGACAUACUAGCGGCUAUCUCUAAUACUCAUCCAAUCUGGAAUGCGCCCAGUAAGCGAGUUUUUGUCAGGUACCUAAUCAGUAAGGAGCACACCACAGUUAAGCACUUCUGCUGGAACUAUAUUGGAAGGAUUUAAUUGGAACUUAGAAGUGAAGUAAGUUCAAGCAAAUUUAGAACUUAUAUGAGGAUAUUAAUGCAUGCAGACUUGUUCUUUCCUUCCUGAUUCUGAAGUUGUAAAAGUAUCAGUAAGCUAGUUUUAUUUUGAUCUUAUCCAUGAUUUUCCAAAAUGUGCAUUGUUCAUAUAAAAUAAACAAAUGAAAGUGUUCUCUAUUACCUAAGAAAAAAGUUCUAAUAAACUUGGAACUUUUGAUGAACUAAUGAUAAGAACAAAAACACUACCUAGAUUGAGUAUUAUUUCUACAGCAUGCUAUGCAUAGGGAUCUUCAUAUUGGUUAAUCUGGGUUUGGGUGAGUACAUCUCAAGAAUUCAUCGCACUUACAUGUACUGUGUUUUUGUAAGGCUUUCAGAAUCUGAAACGCUACCUUCCAAAUUAUUGAAGCUGAGAUCUCUGGAAGAAAUAGACAAAUCAACUAUUUCACAGUUAUAAAAAUAUAAAAUUUUAAAUGAUAGGUUAAUUGAAAUGUGAAAUCCAAAUAUAUAGAUGAGUCAAUUUAUGAAGAAUGAAUUCAUGAAAACAAGCAAACAUAUCAGAUUUUUAAGUUCUCAAGAUGCUGACCAUCGCAGAUUCAUGUACAUUAUUCUAAAUGUUCUUUAAAAAAGAUUGAAGUAUGAAAAAUUUAUUAAACCCACAAAAUAGUAUGUCCAGCACAGAGAUAAAUACUGAAAAUUGAGGUGAAAUAAGAAUAGCUGAAUUACAAAAUUUGCAGUCGCGAAAAUUCCCAUACAUAAUCUGGGAUUGGUCCAGAUAUAUUGCAGCCACCUAACAUCCUGCAGUACGAGUCCCUAUCAUGUGAGCACAAUUAUAGCAAAUGGAUGAUCAAUGAAGAAUUUUGAAAGCCUGUGGAUGACUUACAGCCUGUACAUGUUGUUCAUAUUUUUUAAGUUAGGAAACUUUGAUCCCUCUCCAGGCAGGUCACUGAUCCUUCUGAAUUAUAUUGCAACAUAAAAAAAAAUGUUAAAAAUGACCCUCAAUGCAGCAAUUUUAGUAUCUGAAUUGGAAUGGAACCAGAUUAUGUUAAUAGAAAUUAAGGGCUACAAAAUUUAGAGGGAUAAGACACACAAACUCACAGUUCCACUAAGUUAUGCAAGAGUGCUAAGCUUGAAGGAAUUGGCCCUUCAUAACCACUAGCUUGAAUCUCUCUGUCAGUAAAGGAAUUCAAAUUUAUGAUGUAAUCAUCACCAAAAUUUUCGAUGAAGAUCUAUAGAGACAAAAAGGCGUUUACAAUUUCUCAAGUUGCUUCCAACUUCGAAAAAUGUCGGGCAUCUUUCCAGUGAAAUUGUUACUGCUAAUCCUACUGUAUAAACCUCACAUAAAAGCAGGGGUAGUAAACAAAUCUAGCUUUAUUAACAGUAAACUCUAGAUAGUGCUUAAAACACUUACAGUUCUUUUAGGUUGGAGAGAUUAGCAAGGGACGAGGGAAACUUUCCGGUAAGAUAGUUAGCAUUAAGAAUACUGCAUUCAGGAAAGAGGCAAAAUCAAGCCAACCAUACUAUACUAAAUAUUUGUGGGAGAGAGUAGAGUGGUAAAUCAUGCAUGGAUAUCUAACAGGGAAAGAAGCCUAACAGGUUUUCCAGGUUAACCAAUCUCCCAAAUUCAGGAGGAAUCGUUCCAGAAAACAGGUUGUUCUCGAUGCUCCUGAAAGUACAACACAAAUAAGAAACCAGAUCUUGCUUUUAAAGAAAGAAGGAAAGAGAUAAUACACAAGAAAACAUCGGCAACCGAGGCAUACAGAAAUUUUAGAGUGGUUAUGUUCCCUAAAUAGCUUGGAAUUGGCCCUGAUAAGCGGUUCAUGGGAAGUGCCCUGAAAUGUAUUCGUUCUUAUCAGUUGAAUGAAAAUAAGAUUCUUCUGAACAGGAUAAAACAUGAAGUGGUCUAGUAGCUUACUCCGUCUCCAACUUUAGAGCAGCCCAUUCAUGUGGUAUUGUACCCUUAAGAUAGUUCUUAUAGAGAUGUCUAAAAGCAACACAGACAAAAAAAAAAAAACAAUUUUAAAAUGGAUAGAAGGUCAGUUCCUAGUUAAAGAGUAAAAUCAUCAAUUGUAACCUUCUUCUUACAAUGUCUUAAUAUAUGAUAGCUUCCCAAGUGAGCGUGGAAGAACGCCAUCAAGAUCCUGCCCUACAAGAUAGCUUUUUUCCGAUGGAUACAAAGCUUUUCAGAAGCAUGUUCAUUUCAAAAUUUCCAAAAAUAUGUUUGUCUAAUAAAUAAAAUGGCAGCAUUCAUAUUCUAUAAUUACUUAAAUGAUUAGUUGGGAUAAAUUUGUAUUCGUAUUUGAAGCUAUAGCCAUACAGUAAUUUAUCUUGAAUGAGUUAUUUGCCUAUGGGGAAUUCAAGCAAAUCACUGUUAUAGAAAUGAAGGCUAAUAUAAUGAAAAGAAAGAAUGAAAGAAAGAGGACUAGGUCUAUGGUUAAGAAAUUAGAAAAAACAUCAAUUUUCUUAUCACCGUUAAGGACAUACAUGCCAUCAAUAUGACAUUCACCAUUGGUGAAGGAGCAAUUGCAGGUGACAGUACUGUUGUUGACGGUACGAGAGCCAUGUAGCGGCGGUGGAGUAAACCAGCUUGACUUAUUGUUGCAAGGAUUCUCACUGAAAUUCCAAUCCUUCUUUCCAAGUUCUGCCGCUAUCUCACGAAGAGCUUUUACUGCAAAACCAGAAAGGAAAAGGAAAAAAAAGAAAAGAAAAAAAAGCCGUUGGAGGAAGCUGAGUUGGAUUGAAACACAUUUACAUGAAAAUCACCGGAGUAAUAUUUUGGGGUGAGUUCUUAAGACAUAUAUACGCAAACGAAUCAAACCUGCAAUAUACCGUUUAAUGCAGAUUACUUAAGAACCAAUAAAAGAGAAAACUGCCAAAACAUGAAAUGAAAUCUUAAGAACCAAUGCUUAUCUUUAACACAAACUGAGGCAAGAAAGAGAUUGCAAGACGGUACUG